GGGGGAAAGAGGGGGUCACCACGGCUUGUGGUUGAGCCCAUGAAGUAAUUAUAUGAGGAGGUGCCGUCGGGUCGGGUAAAAAAAAGUACUAAAAACCAGAAUACCGACUACUUUCGAGUAGUAGCUUAUUGAAAAAUCAAAUUAAAAAAAUAACUUAAACUCUCCUUCUUGUAAGGGGUAACUUUAACCUAUGCCAUCAUAGGGUUAAUCAACAAACUCCAUUGUCGUUUCACUCACACUUACAGAGCAGAGCCCUUUCACUCGCACUUGCAAACAGCACCUCGGCACCUCCUUAUAUUAUUACUUCAUGGUUGAGCUGAGGUUUUGGGGAAGUCGUUUUCGUUUCACCGGCAGUGACUUAUGUCCAUGGUCUUCUAGACUGUGGAUACUGCGGCAACGCUUCCUCGCCGCUGUCGCGAUGUAAAUCCAACCACUCAUCGGAGCUCAGAGGCAGCACCUCAGAGCCAUUGAGACCGGCAGAGGCGCGAUCCAUCCACAUAAGAAUGUUACUCUUCACCAGGUUGAUCUGCGGACCUGAAAAAGACAGUUAAAGGGUAACAGUUUAAAAGUGACAGUUUCAAUGUGUCUUCAAUGUGUGGCAUUCAUCUGGGUAGCACUAGCAGAAUAGGCACCUCGAUGAACAAUUGACCCUCGGUCGAGCCUUGGCCAGGCCUCUGGAAGCAUCCUACGGACAAAUUAACGCACAAGACAUAGACACAAGAGUAAAAUAUAUAUUCUUUCUUCGCUUUUUUUUGGUUCCUCUUUCCUUUCAUUCGUAUACAGUUU
RNAcentral lists this long non-coding RNA (786 nucleotides) under Drosophila guanche. The record is from RNAcentral. Lineage: Eukaryota; Metazoa; Arthropoda; Insecta; Diptera; Drosophilidae.